This 460-nucleotide ribosomal RNA is filed under the name uncultured bacterium. Its description in RNAcentral is "partial 16S ribosomal RNA". It matches the Rfam family "Bacterial small subunit ribosomal RNA", at positions 338 to 795 of the family's 1533-position model. The record is from RNAcentral.
CCUACGGGUGGCAGCAGUGAGGAAUAUUGGUCAAUGGACGAGAGUCUGAACCAGCCAAGUAGCGUGAAGGAUGACUGCCCUAUGGGUUGUAAACUUCUUUUAUAUGGGAAUAAAAUGUUCCACGUGUGGGAUUUUGUAUGUACCAUAUGAAUAAGGAUCGGCUAACUCCGUGCCAGCAGCCGCGGUAAUACGGAGGAUCUGAGCGUUAUCCGGAUUUAUUGGGUGUAAAGGGAGCGUAGGUGGAUUGUUAAGUCAGUUGUGAAAGUUUGCGGCUCAACCGUAAAAUUGCAGUUGAAACUGGCAGUCUUGAGUACAGUAGAGGUAGGCGGAAUUCGUGGUGUAGCGGUGAAAUGCUUAGAUAUCACGAAGAACUCCGAUGGCGAAGGCAGUUCACUGGACUGCAACUGACACUGAGGCUCGAAAGUGUGGGUAUCAAACAGGAUUAGAUACCCGUGUAGUC